This 93-nucleotide small RNA is filed under the name Klebsiella aerogenes. RNAcentral's name for it is "partial RtT sRNA". It matches the Rfam family "RtT RNA", at positions 38 to 130 of the family's 130-position model. From Rfam's summary of the family: This family represents a bacterial cis-regulatory element known as RtT RNA. Lineage: Bacteria; Pseudomonadati; Pseudomonadota; Gammaproteobacteria; Enterobacterales; Enterobacteriaceae. The record is from RNAcentral.
GAGGUUCGACUCGAGCGUAGCGAGAGAACGUUGCGUCAGCAACGGCCCGUAGGGCGAGCCACGAAGUGGCGAGUCAUCCUCUAUCACCGACCA